CCGGUAAACGGCGGCCGUAACUAUAACGGUCCUAAGGUAGCGAAAUUCCUUGUCGGGUAAGUUCCGACCUGCACGAAUGGCGUAAUGAUGGCCAGGCUGUCUCCACCCGAGACUCAGUGAAAUUGAACUCGCUGUGAAGAUGCAGUGUACCCGCGGCAAGACGGAAAGACCCCGUGAACCUUUACUAUAGCUUGACACUGAACAUUGAGCCUUGAUGUGUAGGAUAGGUGGGAGGCUUUGAAGUGUGGACGCCAGUCUGCAUGGAGCCGACCUUGAAAUACCACCCUUUAAUGUUUGAUGUUCUAACGUUGGCCCCUAAUCGGGGUUGCGGACAGUGUCUGGUGGGUAGUUUGACUGGGGCGGUCUCCUCCUAAAGAGUAACGGAGGAGCACGAAGGUUGGCUAAUCCUGGUCGGACAUCAGGAGGUUAGUGCAAUGGCAUAAGCCAGCUUGACUGCGAGCGUGACGGCGCGAGCAGGUGCGAAAGCAGGUCAUAGUGAUCCGGUGGUUCUGAAUGGAAGGGCCAUCGCUCAACGGAUAAAAGGUACUCCGGGGAUAACAGGCUGAUACCGCCCAAGAGUUCAUAUCGACGGCGGUGUUUGGCACCUCGAUGUCGGCUCAUCACAUCCUGGGGCUGAAGUAGGUCCCAAGGGUAUGGCUGUUCGCCAUUUAAAGUGGUACGCGAGCUGGGUUUAGAACGUCGUGAGACAGUUCGGUCCCUAUCUGCCGUGGGCGCUGGAGAACUGAGGGGGGCUGCUCCUAGUACGAGAGGACCGGAGUGGACGCAUCACUGGUGUUCGGGUUGUCAUGCCAAUGGCACUGCCCGGUAGCUAAAUGCGGAAGAGAUAAGUGCUGAAAGCAUCUAAGCACGAAACUUGCCCCGAGAUGAGUUCUCCCUGACUCCCUGAGAGUCCUGAAGGAACGUUGAAGACGACGACGUUGAUAGGCCGGGUGUGUAAGCGCAGCGAUGCGUUGAGCUAACCGGUACUAAUGAACCGUGAGG
This 1002-nucleotide ribosomal RNA is filed under the name Escherichia coli. RNAcentral describes it as "partial 23S ribosomal RNA". It matches the Rfam family "Bacterial large subunit ribosomal RNA", at positions 1920 to 2916 of the family's 2925-position model. Lineage: Bacteria; Pseudomonadati; Pseudomonadota; Gammaproteobacteria; Enterobacterales; Enterobacteriaceae. The record is from RNAcentral.